AACUUUCAACAACGGAUCUCUUGGUUCUCGCAUCGAUGAAGAACGCAGCGAAAUGCGAUAAGUAGUGUGAAUUGCAGAAUUCAGUGAAUCAUCGAAUCUUUGAACGCACAUUGCGCCUCCUGGCAUUCCGGGAGGCAUGCCUGUUCGAGCGUCAUGA
This 157-nucleotide ribosomal RNA is filed under the name Otidea tuomikoskii. RNAcentral describes it as "5.8S ribosomal RNA". It matches the Rfam family "5.8S ribosomal RNA". From Rfam's summary of the family: 5.8S ribosomal RNA (5.8S rRNA) is a component of the large subunit of the eukaryotic ribosome. It is transcribed by RNA polymerase I as part of the 45S precursor that also contains 18S and 28S rRNA. The record is from RNAcentral. Lineage: Eukaryota; Fungi; Ascomycota; Pezizomycetes; Pezizales; Pyronemataceae.